GGACGAACGUUGGCGGCGUGCUUAACACAUGCAAGUCGAGCGAUGAAGCACCUUCGGGUGUGAAUUAGCGGCGAACGGGUGAGGAACACGUGAGAAAUCUGCCUUCAACUCUGGGAUAACUCCGGGAAACCGGGGCUAAUACCGGAUAUGAGCCUCUUUCGCAUGAAGGGGGCUGGAAAGUUUUUCGGUUGAAGAUGAUCUCGCGGCCUAUCAGCUUGUUGGUGAGGUAAUGGCUCACCAAGGCGACGACGGGUAGCCGGCCUGAGAGGGCGACCGGCCACACUGGGACUGAGACACGGCCCAGACUCCUACGGGAGGCAGCAGUGGGGAAUAUUGGGCAAUGGAGGAAACUCUGACCCAGCGACGCCGCGUGAGGGAUGAAGGCCUUCGGGUUGUAAACCUCUUUCAGUAGGGAAGAAGCGAAAGUGACGGUACCUACAGAAGAAGCACCGGCUAACUAUGUGCCAGCAGCCGCGGUAAUACAUAGGGUGCAAGCGUUGUCCGGAAUUAUUGGGCGUAAAGAGCUCGUAGGUGGUUCGAUACGUCGGAUGUGAAAAUCAGGGGCUCAACCCCUGACCUGCAUUCGAUACGGUCGAGCUAGAGUGUGGUAGGGGAGACUGGAAUUCCUGGUGUAGCGGUGGAAUGCGCAGAUAUCAGGAGGAACACCGAUGGCGAAGGCAGGUCUCUGGGCCAUUACUGACACUGAGGAGCGAAAGCGUGGGGAGCGAACAGGAUUAGAUACCCUGGUAGUCCACGCCGUAAACGGUGGGCGCUAGUUGUGCGAACCUUCCACGGUUUGUGCGACGCAGCUAACGCAUUAAGCGCCCCGCCUGGGGAGUACGAUCGCAAGAUUAAAACUCAAAGGAAUUGACGG
Molecule: ribosomal RNA, 874 nt
Filed under: uncultured Micrococcineae bacterium
Lineage: Bacteria; Bacillati; Actinomycetota; Actinomycetes; Micrococcales
Description: bacterial SSU rRNA
Rfam family: Bacterial small subunit ribosomal RNA
Source: RNAcentral